GCUCUGGUGGCCUAAUGGUUAGAGCAUCCGCCUAGGGUGCUGGAGGUCGUGGGUUCGAAUCCCAGCCGAAUCA
Molecule: non-coding RNA, 73 nt
Organism: Potamilus streckersoni
Lineage: Eukaryota; Metazoa; Mollusca; Bivalvia; Unionida; Unionidae
Source: the annotation of a GenBank genome assembly